Molecule: RNA transcript, 5820 nt
Organism: Pecten maximus
Lineage: Eukaryota; Metazoa; Mollusca; Bivalvia; Pectinida; Pectinidae
Gene name: serine/arginine repetitive matrix protein 1-like
Exons: 12
Source: RefSeq, a predicted model, not a curated record
CUGGACAAGGAGGAUGCCUUCCGGAGCUGUCUUGUAACUGGUUAUAAGGAAAGAGAGUCACACGUACAUACACACAUACAUGUGUUGAGUGUCGACACGGAUGAUGGAGUGUUAACUGUUGUGUGAAGAUACUGUUUCCAAGAAUAUGGAUAAAAGUAGAGACUUCGAGAAGACUCUUCUAAAAGAAGGGGUCAGCGAAUCAACUCUAGACAAAUUACGAAAAGAGGCGAUCACUGAUUGGUCCACACUUUCAAUUCUGACCUCCGAUGACAUAUCCGAACUAGGACUUCCGGUUGGCCAGAAAGCUCUUGUGCGUAACUUGACGCAACGGAAACAUUCAAAUGACGGGGCGGCGUCACGUGGUCAGCAAGUCUUGUCCAGUGUGCACGACAAAGCACGAGAAGAUUCCCUCUCUAUAGCAGCGACAGAUUACGUGGGACAUAGCGAUGUAUCUAGAGGUUUCAAGCAAGCCACACCGGAAGUUCUUCCACCGCGCAAGUCACGAGAACAAUCUUCCCACAAAGGAGUUCACUUUCCGGAAGACAUGCUCUCACCUGACCCAGACGAUUUGUACGAGGAACCAAUGGCCGCAAAUGGUAAACUUCCCGUCAUGUCUGCUCGACAAGACUCAAUUCCGGACGACGAGGCUCCGUCUGUGCCCACGAGAUCGCCGACAAAUAGGUCAACACAGCAAAGUUCACGUGAGCAGGGAGACAACGAAGCACGUGAAGAAAAUAAAGGAAGAUAACUCUGGUGAGCACGAGGUGGAGAUGAAUGUUUCGUGUUUGGAAACAGAAGGAAAGGGUAAAAUUAUUCUCGAGCUCACGACUGUCCACCAGGACGUCGUUAAGCUAAUUCCGGCUAGGAUUUUAUUACUGGUCGACACAAGCGGAAGUAUGGGCAUCAAAGUAGGAAGGGGAAGGCGUAGCAAACUAAAUCGUUUGAAAGCGUUCGUCAUUUCCAUGGUGAAGACUUUGGACGACGGAGAUCAGGCGGCUUUAGUGACGUUUGGGGAAGAUUCAAACGUUUUACUGCCUAUGUCGGAGAUCAAUGAUCAAACACAGGACAAGCUGACCAGACAGUUGGACGAACUGGAUAAAGCAUUCCUCUCUAAAAAGACGGAUCUGAGUGCCGGACUAAUGACCGCCCUUGAUGUAUUUGGUCGGGUUUGUAAGAGCCAGGAAGAUCUUCUAAGUUACAGAAACUGCAUCAUCGUCUUCUCGGACGGCGAAAUUAACCUCGGCACACAGGAGCCACAGCGACUUGUUCAUGAGGUCCGUGAAAAAAUCCGAGCGAUGUCAUUCGGGCUGGACAACACACAGAACCAAUGGGUGUCCAUAUCCACGGUGGUAACCGGAAGUAGUCCAUCCGAGAUCAUGUACUCGCUGUCUAAAUUCUGCAGCAGCGAUGCAUUCUACCAUCUUGACACCGAGAAGUCGUCGUCUAGAGCGGAUGUUGAUCUGUUUUUGCCGAUCAUGAUGCGCAAGACGGCCAUAGCUUGGAACGUAUCGCUACAUGUCCAGUCCCUCAACGGCGCGGUCAUCAUCAACGCCGACUGUACGCAAGAGAAUAAGGUCAGGCUGCGAGGACACAAAUCGGCCGAAGGCGAGAAAACAGAGAAAGCCUAUUUCUUUUACGACAUCCAGGCUGCUUCGGAAAAGCACGUGGGUAUUGUUAUCGACAUGUCGGGAGUAAAUCAAGAACCGGAUGUGAAGGUUUUAACUGCAGCCAUCCAUUUUACUGGCAUUUCCGGAAAGCGACGUACGCUCACAAGGGAUGUAACUCUUGGUGACUUAAUGUCAACAGAUCUUUCAAAGAAGAAGGAGGCAUUGGAAGAUAUUUACAUGCACGAGGCUCGUAUUGUUUCCCAGAUUGCCGUAAGUAAGGCUGCCGAAGAGCUAAAAACUGGUCGCGCUGAGAAAUCUCGUACCCGCCUCAUUGAGGGUCAAUCGGACCUGCAGCGGCUAAUGGAGAGUUAUGGACAGAUGGCGGAAGAAGAAGACGUCAAAAUUGACAUAGUUCCGCAUGCUGAGUCGGUCAUCAAAAAUCUACAGUCCCUUUUAGACGCUAUUGAGACGACUUCCGGAAACAAUGAGGAUGCGAACGGCAAAAAUUGGAUUCGGAUGAAGGCCGUGUCUUCCGCCAUCACUCGGGAAGCUCCGACAACUUCCGAUACCGUUGCCGACACCGAUAUCCUGUGUCCGCUACCGAAAAUACGACAGGUCAACUCCGAGAACAUCCGAGACCAGAUGGUACACGUGUACCGGAAGCAAGGCGUGCGGAACAGCAGUUUCAUAAACAUGGACCAUACUCUAACAGAACUGUCCAGCAGUUUACGAAUGAGGCCUAUAUCGGAGUGAGCAAUAUCGUAAAUGCUCACCGAGAACUGGGGGAGUCAGGAUUUCACUUUACUCAUGAAACGUACAGGUGUCUGAUAAAAUCAGUCCAGACUAUCAUUUGCGAACAUAGUCGCUGAAAUGUGACUGGCGAAGUUUCAAUGAAAUACAGUACAAUGUAUUAAGAUAAUGUUAUUUUAGUUUCAAUUUUUAACAUGACUGUGCCAUUUCCUGAUUGGUCGAGACCUCUCCGAGAGAACUUCACAAAAUGCAAAGAUAGUCUGAAACUAGCGAAUUACUCCACAAUAGGUUAACAUAGGAAAUUGAUAACCUGGACUAAAAGCAGAUUUUCCCAAAUCUUCACUAUUUUUGACCUAUCAUACAAUAGUAUGGUCAAUCAUCUGGCUGUUGCCAUGGCAAACGAAACUACUGUAGGGCUUGAUGCGAUACGUUUUGGCUGUAUUUCAGACACUGAUCUACAAAAUAUUAUAUAUGCGGUAAGCAUAAAUAGAAAGACACCAAAAGCGACAAGGAGACAUUGGUGAAGAUACUCCAGGAUAAUUUGGUGGAAAAAUGUUUUGACGUUAUCUUUGAAAAUCUAACUUGUUAACACCUUAACAGUUUCAGUAAGGCUGAGGAAUUCGACCUCUCGAGUUAAAUUUAGAAUUUAUAUUGAAAAGAGGAUUAUAAGGCAUCGCUUUGUAUAGCGAAACAGUUAUUGACUUCUUUAGGUUAAUACACGGAAUUGUCAACCUUCGAAAAGCCUUCAGCCUCGGGGAAUAUCACCUGUCUCGGGUUAACAAUUCCUUGUAUUAACCUAAAACAGUAAAUAAUUGUAUAGUAUUAAUUUAUAUUGUAUAGGACAGUGGUAUUAUCAAUCAGGAACCCUAAUCGUUGACCAUUCCAUAUGACACAUGCUCCUAUAAAAAAAUCGAUAUUUUGUUAUCUCUUUAUCUUUAAUCUAAGUAUUUUUUAUACAUUUAUAUUUUACUUUUUUUCAUAUGUUAGUAUAUCAUGCUUAGUAUUAUAUGUCAUGUCAAUGUUUGUUGCUUACGUCUUUUAGUAUAACAUGCAUGUACAUUUAACGGUUGGAACAUAUCCCCUAGCCCGAGUUUCCUCUGGCCUGACACCAUGUCUAGACAUUGUGUCAGGGUCAGAGGAAACUCGGGCUACAUAUCCCCUUAAAGUCUUGUCCGUGAGUACUCUCUCUAACUCCUUGUUUAGUACUGAGGGGUCGCUGAGGACUCUUUGCCUUACAUGACAUAUAAAUGAUGUAAAGGAAAUUUAGUAUCCCCCCUCUCAAAAAAAAAACAAAAAAAAAAAAAACAAAAAAAAAAACAAAAAAAAAAAACAAAACAAACAAACGAACAAAAAACCGACUACUCACGCUUAUCAUCAUAAAUCAAUAGCUUCGCCCGAGAUAUAGAUAUAUGUCAGGUGUUUUUUUUAUCACACAGUACGAUUUUUUUAAAAUUGUAAUAAAUGAUGAAGGGCUCUUAACGCAGUUUGUAUAUACACGAGCUAUCAAUUAUGUACGACGAGCUAAAUUUUAUCUUUGCUUUUGAUAUAAAGAAUAUAUGGGUAAUCCAACACCUUGGUAUUAUGAAACACAUUAAUCACGCAUGCAAUCAAGCUUAGUAAGUUGUCAAUGUGUCGGAUAAUAGAGGGUUAUCUUGUUAUAUGUGAUACGUGUAGGUAAGGUAGAUAAUUGAUGGUAUAGUAUCUAUUAUGACCCGAGAAUGUCUGAUAAGACAAUACAUUAUGUCCAUCGAUUGUUCGAGUACAGUAACCCGUCAAUAGAUUGUGCUUAGUGUAGUGUCAGUUUAGACAGGCGACUCUGACCAAUGUUUCGUGCCAUAUACCACGUGUAUUAUGUCAGAUAAGACGGAUUUAUGUCAACAGAGUUCAUGAUUAGACAGUUUAAUUUGAAGAACAUGCGUUAUAUGGUGACAUAAAAGAAUGGCUAAUCCUGUUGGGUUUCGUGUUGAUAGAUGCGAAAUGUUUUUAUGAAAAAGACAGGUUAAUACAAAUAUAUGAUGUCUCCUAUAGUUUGUCAGAUUAAACAGGUUUAUCUGAUCAAUAUAAUGUGUCACACAGUGUGUCAGAUUAGACAGGUUUAUCUGAUCAAUACAUUGUGUCCCACAGUGUGCCAGAUUAUACAGGUUUAUCUGAUCAAUAUAAUGUGUCACACAGUGUGUCAGAUUAGACAGGUUUAUCUGAUCAAUACAUUGUGUCCCACAGUGUGUCAGAUUAGACAGGUUUAUCUGAUCAAUAUAAUCUGUCAAACAGUGUGUCAGAUUAGACAGGUUUAUCUGAUCAAUAUAAUGUGUCCCAUAGUGUGUCAGAUUAGAAGGUUUAUCUGAUCAAUAUAAUGUGUCACACAGUGUGUCAGAUUAGACAGGUUUAUCUGAUCAAUACAAUGUGUCCCACAGUGUGUCAGAUUAGACAGGUUUAUCUGAUCAAUAUAAUGUGUCACACAGUGUGUCAGAUUAGACAGGUUUAUCUGAUCAAUAUAAUGUGUCACACAGUGUGUCAGAUUAGACAGGUUUAUCUGAUCAAUACAAUGUGUCCCACAGUGUGUCAGAUUAGACAGGUUUAUCUGAUCAAUAUAAUGUGUCCCACAGUUUGUCAGAUUAGACAGGUUUAUCUGAUCAAUACAUUGUGUCCCACAGUGUGUCAGAUUAGACAGGUUUAUCUGAUCAAUAUAAUGUGUCAAACAGUGUGUCAGAUUAAACAGGUUUAUCUGAUCAAUAUAAUGUGUCCCAUAGUGUGUCAGAUUAGACAGGUUUAUCUGAUCAAUAUAAUGUGUCACACAGUGUGUCAGAUUAGACAGGUUUAUCUGAUCAAUACAAUGUGUCCCACAGUGUGUCAGAUUAGACAGGUUUAUCUGAUCAAUACAUUGUGUCCCACAGUGUGUCAGAUUAGACAGGUUUAUCUGAUCAAUACAUUGUGUCCCACAGUGUGUAAGAUAAGACAGGUUUAUCUGAUCAAUACAUUGUGUCCCACAGUGUGUCAGAUUAGACAGGUUUAUCUGAUCAAUAUAAUGUGUCCCACAGUGUGUCAGAUUAGACAGGUUUAUCUGAUCAAUACUUUUGUCCCACGUGAUGCGAGCUUAUACAUGUGUAUCUGAACAAUGUUGUGUCCCACCCACGUGGUGUCAGAUUAGACAGGUUUAUAUGAACAAUGUUGCACACCGAUGUGGUGUCCCAGUGGUGUCAGAUUAGACAGGUUUAUAUGAGCAAUGUUGUGUCCCAUAUGGUGUCAGAUUAUACAGGUUAAUCUGAGUGAUGUGGUGUCCCAGUGUGUGUACGAUAACUACAUUUUACUGUAAUGCUACACGAUCAUAUUUUCAUAUUUUCAAAUGUCCUAUGUUCUGUAUUGUUGUUUCAUAAUUAUGCAAAUAAUGUGUCAAAAAGAAAAAAAAACUAACAUAUUUAUUUUCGAUACAAAUGUGUAAAAUUUACAUUAAAUCAUCACUACGUCA